Molecule: ribosomal RNA, 466 nt
Filed under: Cuscuta partita
Lineage: Eukaryota; Viridiplantae; Streptophyta; Magnoliopsida; Solanales; Convolvulaceae
Description: eukaryotic LSU rRNA
Rfam family: 5.8S ribosomal RNA (bases 118-273)
Source: RNAcentral
GUGGCCAUGACGAACCCAAACAACGGCGCAGCGGCGCCAAGGAUUUUUGUAAUGGGAAUGCCACCUCGUAGAGUUCUCUUGUGCAGCUUUUGAGGUUGGCGUCUUUUCAAUAAAAAUGACUCUUGGCAAUGGAUAUCUCGGCUCUUGCAUCGAUGAAGAACGUAGUGAAAUGCGAUACUUGGUGUGAAUUGCAGAAUCCCGCGAACCAUCGAAACUUUGAACGCAAGUUGCGCCUCAAGCCACUAGGUUGAGGGCACGUUUGCUUGGGUGUCAUGCAUUAUGUCUUCCCUCUCGUGUCUUGAAGUGGGAGUAGAUCAUGGCCUCCCGGGCCCGUCCUCGGGCGUGGUUGGCCGAAAGUAAUGUCCUUGACUUUUGUUGAUGUCUUGGCGUGUGGUGGAUGUACCAAGUGUGCAUGACAGUGGCCUGCCUUGCUUGACUUCAUUGUGGGCUUGAGAUCCUAUGAAGC